UUCCCUUAGUAGCGGCGAGCGAAUAGGGAAGAGCCCAGCACUUAAUCUCGCGGGUGUACGCUCGCCGAGAAAUGUGGUGUUUGGGAGGGUCCGACUAUCCCGGGAUGUCUCGGCGAGUCCAAGUCCAUCUUGAAUGGGGCCACGGCCCGUAGAGGGUGCCAGGCCCGUAGGACCGUUGACUGUCUCGGGAGGCCCUUUCCCUAGAGUCGGGUUGC
Molecule: ribosomal RNA, 215 nt
Filed under: Rhaphidophora sp. CELSG
Lineage: Eukaryota; Metazoa; Arthropoda; Insecta; Orthoptera; Rhaphidophoridae
Also listed under: 1 other name
Description: partial 28S ribosomal RNA
Rfam family: Eukaryotic large subunit ribosomal RNA
Source: RNAcentral